RNAcentral lists this ribosomal RNA (438 nucleotides) under uncultured bacterium. RNAcentral's name for it is "partial 16S ribosomal RNA". It matches the Rfam family "Bacterial small subunit ribosomal RNA", at positions 338 to 795 of the family's 1533-position model. The record is from RNAcentral.
GCUACGGGGGCAGCAGUGGGGAAUAUUGGACAAUGGGGGGAACCCUGAUCCAGCGACGCCGCGUGAGUGAAGAAGUAUUUCGGUAGGGAAAGCUCUAUCAGCAGGGAAGAAAAUGACGGUACCUGACUAGAAGCACCGGCUAACUACGUGCCAGCAGCCGCGGGAAUAAGCAGGGGGCAAGCGUUAUCCGGAUUUACUGGGUGGAACGGUAGCGUAGACGGGGCAGCAAGUCUGAUGUGAAAGGUCGGGCCCCAACCCCGGGACUGCAUUGGAAACUGUUGAACUGGAGUACAGGAGAGGUAAGCGGAAUUCCUAGUGUAGCGGUGAAAUGCGUAGAUAUUAGGAGGAACACCAGUGGCGAAGGCGGCUUACUGGACUGUAACUGACGUUGAGGCUCGAAAGCGUGGGGAGCAAACAGGAUUAGAUACCCGAGUAGUC